RNAcentral lists this ribosomal RNA (868 nucleotides) under Lactobacillus delbrueckii subsp. bulgaricus. RNAcentral describes it as "partial 23S ribosomal RNA". It matches the Rfam family "Bacterial large subunit ribosomal RNA", at positions 1634 to 2507 of the family's 2925-position model. The record is from RNAcentral. Lineage: Bacteria; Bacillati; Bacillota; Bacilli; Lactobacillales; Lactobacillaceae.
GAACAUACCCGUACCGCAAACCGACACAGGUAGUCGAGUGGAGAACACUAAGGUGAGCGAGAGAACUCUCGUUAAGGAACUCGGCAAAAUGACCCCGUAACUUCGGAAGAAGGGGUGCUGGCCAUGAGAAUGGUUAGCCGCAGUGAAUAGGCCCAAACAACUGUUUAUCAAAAACACAGGUCUCUGCAAAAUCGUAAGAUGACGUAUAGAGGCUGACACCUGCCCGGUGCUGGAAGGUUAAGAGGAGAGCUUAGCGCAAGCGAAGGUUUGAAUUGAAGCCCCAGUAAACGGCGGCCGUAACUAUAACGGUCCUAAGGUAGCGAAAUUCCUUGUCGGGUCAGUUCCGACCUGCACGAAAGGUGUAAUGAUUUGGGCACUGUCUCAACGAGAGACUCGGUGAAAUUAUAAUACCCGUGAAGAUGCGGGUUACCCGCGACAGGACGGAAAGACCCCAUGGAGCUUUACUGUAGCUUGAUAUUGAGUAUCUUUUAAACAUGUACAGGAUAGGUAGGAGCCAAGGAAAGCAGGACGCUAGUUUUGCUGGAGGCAAUGUUGGGAUACUACCCUUGUUUGAAGGAUGCUCUAACCUCGACCUGUAAGCCAGGCCAGGGACAGUGUCAGGUGGGCAGUUUGACUGGGGCGGUCGCCUCCUAAAGUGUAACGGAGGCGCUCAAAGGUUCCCUCAGAAUGGUUGGAAAUCAUUCGCAGAGUGUAAAGGUAUAAGGGAGCUUGACUGCGAGAGAAACAGCUCGAGCAGGUAGGAAACUAGGACUUAGUGAUCUGGUGGUACCGCAUGGAAGGGCCAUCACUCAACGGAUAAAAGCUACCCUGGGGAUAACAGGCUUAUCUCCCCCAAGAGUUCACAUCG